This 139-nucleotide long non-coding RNA is filed under the name Mustela putorius furo (domestic ferret). RNAcentral's name for it is "lncRNA (ENSMPUG00000030262.1)". Lineage: Eukaryota; Metazoa; Chordata; Mammalia; Carnivora; Mustelidae. The record is from RNAcentral.
UUCAGAAGUCACAGAGGAUACUACAGGAAAGCAAUCGAAUGGUGAUUGGAUACAUUUUCUAACAUCAUGAGGUAUCUAUACUAUUCUGAAAUUUGUGAGACUAGUCAGCAGGAAACCACAAGAAAGAGUGAGGUGGGAG